Molecule: long non-coding RNA, 355 nt
Filed under: Phoenix dactylifera (date palm)
Lineage: Eukaryota; Viridiplantae; Streptophyta; Magnoliopsida; Arecales; Arecaceae
Description: long non-coding RNA (PDAC_LNC020182)
Source: RNAcentral
CCGUGUUUGGGUCGGCUCAACCUGUCCUUGGGUCGACCCAACUUUCACUUGGGUCGACUCAAACAUUCCUUGGGUCGACCCUCUCAGAAAACACAGAAACUUGAAAUUUCAGCCUUCCUUCCCAUGGGUCGACCCAACCAUUCUUUGGGUCGACUCAAAGUUCACUUGGGUCGACUCAACUUCUUCUUGGGUCGACCCUCUCAGUAAUUCCAGAGAACCAUUUUCUGUCUGCCUUUCUGUCUUGCCUCUGGGUCGACCCUCUCAGGAUUUGGGUCGACUCAAGCUUGGGUCGACUCAACCACUGUUUGGGUCGACCCUCUCAGUAAAUCCAGAGAACAUAUUUCUUUCAUGUUUU